This is a non-coding RNA of Maylandia zebra (zebra mbuna), 1065 nucleotides long. NCBI's taxonomy places the organism in Eukaryota, Metazoa, Chordata, Actinopteri, Cichliformes, Cichlidae. The record is from RefSeq and is a predicted model, not a curated record.
GGCACAUGUGUUGAGCUGCUCUGGUGCAUUUCUUUUGUUUGUCUAAAGUCUGGGGGACCCUGUACAUUUCCUCAUGUAGGCUGUUUUCUGUUAAACACACCAGGCUAUGGGGAAGAGGCAACAAGAGAGAAGGAAAGGAGACCAGGCGGAAGGGAAGCAAGGUGAAGAGUGUUGGGAUGUGGACUUGACUGUUCUACCAUGCUGUAAGGUGCAGGCAUACCUCUUGAACUUCAAGAGAAGUUUUAUCCUCCAUGAAAUGGAGGUCCAGAUGUUCAGCCUAUUUUAAGAAGUGUAAAGAUGCCUCCAAAAAACAAGGAAUGGAAAGAGUUGUAAGAAGGAUGAUUCCAGGAAACGUCUCCCAGAGGUGGCAUUCAUGGGCCUGUGGGUCACUCCAUCCUAAAUCAAUGUGGGUCCCCAGUUUGCCUCAAAAUUGAAUGGUUCAUAGUUUGGAAAAACAUAGUCCUCUCUCUGAGGUUUUAGCUUCACUUUUCAAGAUAUAUUCCUUUGAAAAAGCUUUUGUUGACCUACCUUCUUUCAAUAUUUUUCAUUUUUGAGACCCACUGCCCAGGAGAACUCUGGUCUAAGAAGUCUAAUUCAGGUUAAGUUUAAAUGUAGCAGUUACAAGCAUGGAUAUCAAUCACAUCACACACACACACACAGCAGCAUUCAUUGUAAGUCAGCAUGCCAGUCACGUGAUCCCUGCUUGCCUGUGGCAUUAAGGUUAGGAUUAGCAUAGCACCAUAUAGACCCGACAACUUGGUCUUGCAAGACUACUCACGUGAAAAAAAGCUUUUAAACCCUUUUUCAUUACUUAAUUGUUCUGUUAUAUUUAUUUUUGUGUAUGAAAAAUGUUACCGGAGUACUUAUUAAGCUUUUAAUGACUCUUAGUAUAUUUAAAGCUUAACCUGAAUUAUCAGGCUCAUUCAGGGCAGUAGGUUAGAAAGGUAUGUUUAAUACAAUUAUUUUCUGAAUGACAAAUAGUGUAGGAAGUGAAAAAACUGCUGGGGAUUUACCUUACAGUGUGAUGUGCCUUAAGGACUGGUGCAAUAAAAACUAUUAAAACAA